AAGUCGUAACAAGGUUUCCGUAGGUGAACCUUGCGGAAGGAUCAUUAACACGUAUCCAAACGUUAAAACCCCCACCGUGAACCUUCAUCCUGCUCUUGGAACCCGCGUAGUUCGCAAUCUCUGAUAAAUCAUAGCCCGGAAAGUUGUAGUGAUUCAGAGACCAUUGGAUACGUGCGAACAUUGGAACAGUUACAAUCGAGCGGUAGUUCUAUAGGCAAUGUUUCCCCAAGCAGUCAGUGUCGGAAAGUGUCAUUGAUUGUGCAAGGAUAGCUCUUCUACGAUUCCUGUAGACCGUACACUCGGGCAGGAGCUUUGCCAAACGGCCCCCUAAUAACGUAAUACAUUGGGUAAAAAAACCGAACAACUGUUAACAAUGGAUAUCUUGGUUCUC
Molecule: unclassified non-coding RNA, 391 nt
Filed under: fungal sp.
Lineage: Eukaryota; Fungi
Description: partial internal transcribed spacer region
Rfam family: Eukaryotic small subunit ribosomal RNA (bases 1-47)
Source: RNAcentral